GUGUAUGCAGGCUGCGUGGCUCUGUGUUGUCAGUGGUUGAGAUGUGUAUGUAAGCUGCGUGGCUCCGUGCUGUACGUGGCUGAGCUGUGUAUGCAGGCUGAGCGCUGGCUCUGUGCUGUCAGUGGCUGAGCUGUGUUUGCAGGCUGCGUGGCUCUGUGCUGUCAGUGGCUGAGGUGUAUGGGCUCUGUGCUGUAUCAUUGGUGAGCUGUGUAUGCAGGCUGGGCUCUGUGCUGUCGUAGGCUGUGUUUGCAGGCUGCGUGGCUCCGUGCUGUCAGUGGCUGAGCUGUGUAUGCAGGCUGCGUGGCUCUGUGCUGUCAGUGGCUGAGCUGUGUAUGCAGGCUGCGUGGCUCCGUGCUGUCAGUGGCUGAGCUGUGUAUGCAGGCUGCGUGGCUCUGUGCUGUCAGUGGCUGAGCUGUGUUUGCAGGCUGCGUGGCUCCGUGCUGUCAGUGGCUGAGCUGUGUAUGCAGGCUGC
Molecule: non-coding RNA, 472 nt
Organism: Pelobates cultripes (western spadefoot toad)
Lineage: Eukaryota; Metazoa; Chordata; Amphibia; Anura; Pelobatidae
Source: the annotation of a GenBank genome assembly